This 452-nucleotide ribosomal RNA is filed under the name Pholidoptera griseoaptera (dark bush-cricket). RNAcentral's name for it is "partial 16S ribosomal RNA". It matches the Rfam family "Archaeal large subunit ribosomal RNA", at positions 1895 to 2598 of the family's 2987-position model. The record is from RNAcentral. Lineage: Eukaryota; Metazoa; Arthropoda; Insecta; Orthoptera; Tettigoniidae.
UUUAACAAAAACAUGUCCUUUUGGGUUUAAUUUAAGGUCGGGCCUGCCCACUGAUGAAUUUAAGGGCCGCGGUAUUUUGACCGUGCAAAGGUAGCAUAAUCAUUAGUCUUUUAAUUGAGGGCUGGAAUGAAUGGUUUGACGAAAUAUUAACUGUCUCUUUAUAAUAAGUAGAAUUUAACUUUUGAGUCAAAAGGCUUAGAUAAUUGUAAAAGACGAGAAGACCCUAUAGAUCUUUAUAUAUAAAUAUAUUUAUUUUGUUUAGAUUAGGUUUUAAUAAUUAUAUGAUUGUAUUUUGUUGGGGAGACGUGAAGAUAAAAAUAACUCUUCAUUAUUAAUACAUUGAUUUAUGAAUAAUUGAUCCGUUAUUGGCGAUUACAAGAAAAAGUUACCUUAGGGAUAACAGCGUAAUUUUUUUUGAGAGUUCUUAUCGACAAGAAAGAUUGCGACCUCGA